UACAGAGGUCUCAAGCGUUGUUCGGAUUCAUUGGGCGUAAAGGGUGCGUAGGUGGUGCUGUAAGUCAGGUGUGAAAUCUCGGGGCUCAACCCCGAAACUGCACUUGAUACUGCAGUGCUCGAGGACUGGAGAGGAGACUGGAAUUUACGGUGUAGCGGUGAAAUGCGUAGAUAUCGUAAGGAAGACCAGUGGCGAAGGCGGGUCUCUGGACAGUUCCUGACGCUGAGGCACGAAGGUCAGGGGAGCAAACGGG
RNAcentral lists this ribosomal RNA (253 nucleotides) under uncultured bacterium. Its description in RNAcentral is "partial 16S ribosomal RNA". It matches the Rfam family "Bacterial small subunit ribosomal RNA", at positions 524 to 776 of the family's 1533-position model. The record is from RNAcentral.